This 431-nucleotide ribosomal RNA is filed under the name uncultured bacterium. RNAcentral describes it as "partial 16S ribosomal RNA". It matches the Rfam family "Bacterial small subunit ribosomal RNA", at positions 29 to 507 of the family's 1533-position model. The record is from RNAcentral.
AACGAACGCUGGCGGCAGGCUUAACACAUGCAAGUCGGGCGCCUCGCAAGAGGAGCGGCAGACGGGUGAGUAACGCGUGGGAACGUACCCUUAUCUUCGGAAUAGCUCUGGGAAACUGGAAGUAAUACCGAAUGUGCCCUUAGGGGGAAAGAUUUAUCGGAUAAGGAUCGGCCCGCGUUGGAUUAGCUAGUUGGUGGGGUAAAGGCCUACCAAGGCGACGAUCCAUAGCUGGUCUGAGAGGAUGAUCAGCCACAUUGGGACUGAGACACGGCCCAAACUCCUACGGGAGGCAGCAGUGGGGAAUAUUGGACAGUGGGCGCAAGCCUGAUCCAGCCAUGCCGCGUGAGUGAUGAAGGCCUUAGGGUUGUAAAGCUCUUUCACCGGAGAAGAUAAUGACGGUAUCCGGAGAAGAAGCCCCGGCUAACUUCGUG